AUAUUAAAGUAAUUGUGAAAUAAAAGAAAAAAUCAUCUGAUAAAACCACAUCUCAUAGAAACCCAAUGAAUGCAACACAUCUAAAAUUUUAUCUGCAAGAAACGAGAGAAGGCUUGCCCUUCUGUCAGUAAAGCACAGAUAA
RNAcentral lists this non-coding RNA (142 nucleotides) under Pongo abelii (Sumatran orangutan). Lineage: Eukaryota; Metazoa; Chordata; Mammalia; Primates; Hominidae. The record is from RNAcentral.